Molecule: long non-coding RNA, 853 nt
Filed under: Androctonus crassicauda
Lineage: Eukaryota; Metazoa; Arthropoda; Arachnida; Scorpiones; Buthidae
Source: RNAcentral
CCCUGAUGUAGGAAGCUUCUAGGUUCUGUGCUGGAUACUUAAGGGAUAUCUUACCGCUUAAAUAUCCAGCGCAAGGGUAUACACGCCCGAUUUCUCUGUAGCUUGUUUUACAUCCUUCUCAUUGCAAAGGGUAUUAAAAAGGGAGGGCAGCCUUUUAGGGGCAAAUCAUCUUCCAGACUUGUCAGUUAUAAAAGAAAUAGCUUCUGAUUUUCUCAAGGAAUACACUACUGGAAGAAAGGUGUUAAGCUAGAUUCCUUGUUGGCGGUCGUCUUGGGACGUGUCAUGCACUCUAGCUUUUUCUUUGCAGUGUAUGGUAUCCAAAAAAUGUUUACUGUAACUAUAGUCAAAACCUAUGCGGUAAAUAUACUUAAUCUCAUGAUCCAGCAUUACGGCAUCUGAUGUAUACAUAUGUGCUCUCUUAAAAUAAAAUCUAAAAGCAGAAGCCUUAUAAGAGUAGGGGUCCGAGGACCGGCUUGGGAUAGGAACUGCUUGGUUACAGGGCUUCCUGUAUAUGGAGAUCUUGAGCGUGUCUUGCUCUAUUGUCAAGGAUAAAUCCAGAUGAUGCACUUGGUUAGAGCUAACUUGGUCCUUCCUGACCGAUGUACCAUACUGUUGCAAGUGAAAGCUGCUUGGAAAGCAUCUAACAGGUCAAUGUUCGACCAAAUGGUGAAAAUGUCAUCAACGUAUCUAACAAACAUAUCUCAAAUAUCUCAAAAACUGUUGAAAAUAUUCAAAAUCUGUGCAUUAACAAACAAGUACUCUAUAGCAGGUGUAAAAACAAAAAAUAAACUUUACUACUAACGCUUUUGAUGAUUAUCACAUCAUCUUCAGUUAAAAUACAAAAGAUUCUAAC